Molecule: long non-coding RNA, 1748 nt
Organism: Papaver somniferum (opium poppy)
Lineage: Eukaryota; Viridiplantae; Streptophyta; Magnoliopsida; Ranunculales; Papaveraceae
Exons: 2
Source: RefSeq, a predicted model, not a curated record
AAUCUUAAAAAACAGCUCGCUCAUAAAGAACUUAGAAUUUAGCCCCCUACCACUCGCGCUAACUCACAGUUACAGGGAGGGAAGAAGAAGAUUAGAAGAACCACAAUGUCAAGCUUACUACCAGAGGAAAUCAUACAGAACAUAUUCAAAAGGUUACCUGUCAAAUACACUUCAAGAUUCAGGUGUGUUUCCAAAUAUUGGUAUCAUUUAUUUCGAAACCUAAUUUUAUUAAAAAUCAUCUCAACCAUGCUAAUCUCAUGAAUAAGUUCAAUCACUUGGUUCACAACUUCGGGGACAUGGAUAAUAUCCCUGCUGGUGAUAUAGCUGCAGAACCUUUUCUCUAUUCUGUAGAUAAUAGUGUCUUAACAUCAACAUCAUCACCAUUUUUAGGUCAUGCUCUUAAGAUUGAUUAUCCACUUAUGUCCUCAGAAUGUGUGCCUCAACUUCUAGGUUCUUCUAAUGGAUUGGUUUGCAUUAGACCAAUUUCUGAAGACAUUUGCAUUUGGAACCCGGCUACCCGAGAAUAUAAACAUAUACCAGACCCUUCACCCCACUCAAAUCCUUUUCUUAUUGCCCAUGGGUUUGGUUUUGAUUGAAAAAAUGAUGAUUAUAAGGUAUUAAGAAUUGCAUGAUUUGAUUUUGAUUAUAAAAUUUCUGAAGCUAGAGUAUACUCAUUAGCUUCAAAUUCAUGGAAGAAUCUUGGUUUUAUUCCUUAUGAUUUCUCUUAUGGUAUAAAUAAGGGUUUGCUUCUUAAUGGUGUUCUUCACUGGAUUGCUAUUGCUCAUCGUAAUGGACUCAAAUCUAACGUUGUUGUUUCUUAUGAUAUUUCUGACGAGACAUUCCAUCAUGUGCCAUUACCUAACAAAAUUUCAAAGGAGGAUGGAUACCGUAGCAUAUCCGAUCUGGGCGUCUUGGAAGGGAAACUUUGCCUACUUCGUAUGAACGAUCAGAUUGAUGUGUGGAUCAUGAUCGAUAACAAGUGGAGUAAACAUUUGAAGAUUACUGCACAGAUGUACUUUGGACAUCCAAUUCAAACUUUACAGAAUGGUAAGAUCCUAUUUGACGGUGGAGGAAAUGGUUUACGGUCAUAUGACCCUAAUCUUGAAAGAGCUAGAGACCUGAAGAUACACGACUUCCCGGACGAUGCUCUUGUAGAGGCUUAUAUUGAGACCUUGGUAGCACUUAACUCUGGUGCUUAUGUUGGGCAAUAACAAAAAAAGGUACAACGAAGUAAAACAAGAAGAGACAGAUAAUAAUGUCUGAUGUGGAUCUGGAAUUGAUUACGCAAGAAAGUAAGGGAGAGGUAUGGUAGAAAGGGAUGGUGUCAAUCUCUUUUAUGUUUUUGGCUAAAAAAGGGAAGCAGAAAUCAUUGCGGGAGAUGAUUUGUUAUAUGUAGCAGUGGAUUAUCCAAGAACACCGAGUUUAGGUGCAUGGUGGUGAUACGACGACAUUUCGGGGUAACAAUCCUACCUCUACCUGCCUCCAUUACGCGGCUGCAAUAAGGCAGGCAGGCAGGACUCCGAAGAAGCAGACGGCGGGUAAAAUUAAAACGAAACGGUGGAUAAUCAGACAUGUAGGAUCAUUUCCAGCUUUUCUUUUCCUUUUUCUUUUCGCUUUCUCUUUUUGUAUUUUUUGGCUAGUUACCGUGGAUCGGUAAUCUCUUUCGUUUGUGCAGCCUAAUUUUUAAGGCAAAAGAUCUCUUCAUUUAAUAUAGAUCAUCAUCAUCAAGCUUAAAUUGAUAAACAAUG